GGGGACGUAGCUCAGCUGGCUAGAGCACCUGCUUUGCAAGCAGGGGGUCGUGGGUUCGAUUCCCAUCGUCUCCACCA
Molecule: transfer RNA, 77 nt
Filed under: Acidimicrobiales bacterium
Lineage: Bacteria; Bacillati; Actinomycetota; Acidimicrobiia; Acidimicrobiales
Also listed under: 2 other names
Description: tRNA-Ala
Rfam family: tRNA
About the family: Transfer RNA (tRNA) molecules are approximately 80 nucleotides in length. Their secondary structure includes four short double-helical elements and three loops (D, anti-codon, and T loops).
Source: RNAcentral